UAGGGAAUCUUCGGCAAUGGGGGGAACCCUGACCGAGCAACGCCGCGUGAGUGAAGAAGGUUUUCGGAUCGUAAAGCUCUGUUGUUAAGGAAGAACGAGUGUGAGAAUGGAAAGUUCAUGCUGUGACGGUACUUAACCAGAAAGGGACGGCUAACUACGUGCCAGCAGCCGCGGUAAUACGUAGGUCCCGAGCGUUGUCCGGAUUUAUUGGGCGUAAAGCGCGCGCAGGCGGCCCGCCAAGCGGCCUCGUCGAAGCCGGGGGCUCAACCCCCGGAAGCGACCCGAACUGGCGGGCUCGAGUGGGGCAGGGGAGGAUGGAAUCCCCGGUGUAGCGGUGAAAUGCGCAGAUAUCGGGAGGAACACCGACGGCGAAGGCAGCCCUCUGGGCCUUCACUGACGCUGAGGCGCGAAAGCUGGGGGAGCGAACAGG
Molecule: ribosomal RNA, 430 nt
Filed under: Verrucomicrobiota bacterium
Lineage: Bacteria; Pseudomonadati; Verrucomicrobiota
Description: Verrucomicrobia bacterium partial 16S ribosomal RNA
Rfam family: Bacterial small subunit ribosomal RNA
Source: RNAcentral